Molecule: long non-coding RNA, 1253 nt
Organism: Nerophis ophidion (straightnose pipefish)
Lineage: Eukaryota; Metazoa; Chordata; Actinopteri; Syngnathiformes; Syngnathidae
Exons: 3
Source: RefSeq, a predicted model, not a curated record
GCGUGAGCCGUAUUCUUCCUAGCUGCUCUGGCUUUUAGUGUGAAAUAUCAUCGAAGGUGCGAUAACUUACCUUCCAAGUAACAGCUGGAAGACGACGAAAGCCCUUUCUUAGAUUUACACCCCACCAAUUUCAGGCAUAUCUCCAACAUUUUCAUUUGCUUUCUCGUCCCCUUGCCGCCUGGAAAACUUUCAAAUUCUUUUGAGCGUCUUCUCUCCUUUUACAUGUGUCCCACAGAAGGAUAGUUCAAAGAGCGAUCCACGAUGGAUGUAGAAAUAACACUGAUCUUCUGGACUUUGAUGUCAGUCCUGGUGCUGGGACAAAAAGAAAAACUCUACCAACAUUCUCUUCCUAGCAUCUCCAUGUUUAGUUUUUUUUUCUUCUUUCCUCCUGUCCAAAGAGAAUCCGAAAACGCUGGCCGGCGGUCUCGCUGGGCUGGUGUCAGUGGCGGGCCGGUUGUCUCUGCGCUGCCAUUCCUCUGUCCCGUCGCCCUUCUUCGUGUGGACUGUGGAGCCGAGGCGCAAGGACGAGUUAGCGCUACAGAUGCCAACAAAGGGCCUCUUUCAGGACCGGCCUGCUGCACUCAAUGACAUCAGCUGAGCCCUCCCACCUCCAGCAACACACACACCCACACAAUGAAAGAGCACAUGGACACACUUAAAACACACCGACAGCUGCUCACCGGCGUACACGUCCACUAAAAAGGAGUGCCCUGAAACUGAUGAGCGCCGACGCCAUGAAGACCAGUGGACCCGAAGAUCCAGUGCCAGAACGUAGUUCACUCUUAGUAUAUUCCUUCAGUCUCCAUUGAUCGAGCUGUGCGCCUCGCUUCAUUGGACUUCCCUCCGGAUUUUGGACUGCUUCCCUCGAUCCCCGCUUGGACACGGACCUCGACGCCUCUCUCCAGCCCCCGACCUCUCGCUUCCUACGAACAUCCUUCUUGCCUUGCCCCACUGGACUUUUGGUCAAUUCAUCCAACGCACACGAACAACACCCACCGGCAACAUUUAAUUCCUCACAUUGUCUCGCACCAUACACUCUUAGUAGCAUACACAUCCCAACACAUCAUUAAGUUCAAUAAACCUGUUGAACUUAUUUAUGUCGUUGUGUCGUCUCCUUCCCCCGGGGAACGUAACGGGUUUCAGUUAUUUCACCUUUUUUUGUCUACAUGGGUACAUUCAUAGUUUUGAUGCCUUCAGUGACAAUCUACAAUGUAAAUAGUCAUGGAAAUAAAGAAAACGCAUUGAAUGAAGAA